Molecule: ribosomal RNA, 253 nt
Filed under: uncultured bacterium
Lineage: Bacteria
Description: partial 16S ribosomal RNA
Rfam family: Bacterial small subunit ribosomal RNA
Source: RNAcentral
UACGGAGGGUGCGAGCGUUAAUCGGAAUUACUGGGCGUAAAGCGCAUGCAGGUGGUUCAUUAAGUCAGAUGUGAAAGCCCGGGGCUCAACCUCGGAACUGCAUUUGAAACUGGGUAACUAGAGAGUAGUAGAGGAAAGCGGAACUCACAGUGUAGCGGUGAAAUGCAUAGAUAUUGUGAGGAAUACCAGUGGCGAAGGCGGCCCCCUGGACAGAUACUGACACUCAGAUGCGAAAGCGUGGGGAGCAAACAGG